CAUAAGGAAGCUGAGAAGAGAAGGAGAGAGAGAAUUAACUCUCAUCUAGAUAAGCUCAGGAGCCUCCUUCCUUGCAAUUCUAAGGUAAUUAUAGAUGAUUUGUGUUGAUAGAGUGGAAGGCUAUUUGAUGGUUUUUUGAAGCGUAUUAGGAGCUUUUGAAGUGGUUUUAAUGGUGGAGAUUGUGACUUUUCUUGUUUAAUGUUUUCACCAUGUAGUAAUUCUUGAAGUUUUUUAUCUAUGUGAUUUUUCUUUUUCCCUUUAUCAAUUAUUGUGUUUGUUCACUGUUUGGUAGCUAAGAAACUGCGAGAAAAAGAAAGUUAAACUUUGAUUUUUGGACUCUUACUUUUUGACCCAC
RNAcentral lists this unclassified non-coding RNA (355 nucleotides) under Hevea brasiliensis (rubber tree). Lineage: Eukaryota; Viridiplantae; Streptophyta; Magnoliopsida; Malpighiales; Euphorbiaceae. The record is from RNAcentral.